AUUGAACGCUGGCGGCAUGCCUUACACAUGCAAGUCGAACGGCAGCACGGGUGCUUGCACCUGGUGGCGAGUGGCGAACGGGUGAGUAAUACAUCGGAACAUGUCCUGUAGUGGGGGAUAGCCCGGCGAAAGCCGGAUUAAUACCGCAUACGAUCUACGGAUGAAAGCGGGGGACCUUCGGGCCUCGCGCUAUAGGGUUGGCCGAUGGCUGAUUAGCUAGUUGGUGGGGUAAAGGCCUACCAAGGCGACGAUCAGUAGCUGGUCUGAGAGGACGACCAGCCACCCUGGGCUUGAGCAACGGCCCAGACUCCUACGGGAGGCAGCAGUGGGGAAUUUUGGCAAAUGGGCGAAAGCUUGAUCAAGCAAGGCGGCGUGUGUGAAGAAGGCCUCCGGGUGGUAAAGAACUUUUGUCCGGAAAGAAAUCCUUGCCCCUAAUCCGGCCGGGGAUGACGGUACCGGAAGAAUAAGCACCGGCUAACUACGUG
Molecule: ribosomal RNA, 485 nt
Filed under: uncultured bacterium
Lineage: Bacteria
Description: partial 16S ribosomal RNA
Rfam family: Bacterial small subunit ribosomal RNA
Source: RNAcentral